CAUCGUUGAAUAGUCCUUAGCACGGGUACUUCCUGUUUGAGUUUCUGCCUAUAGGAAGGGAGGAGCAAAAUGGAGUCGUGAUCAGACUUGCCGAACGGAGGACGGGGGAAGGCCUUGUGGGCAUCCCGGAAGUUCGAGUAACAGUGGUCGGGUGUUUUAACAGCGUGAGUACUACAGUCGAUGUGCUGAUAGAACUUCGGUAGCGUUUUCCUCAAAUUUGCUUUGUUAAAAUCUCCAGCUACAAUAAAUGCGGCCUUAGGAUAUGUGGUUUCCAGUUUGCAUAAAGUCCAGUGAAGUUCUUUGAGGGCCGUCCUGGUGUCGACUUGAGGGGGAAUAUGUACGGGUCUGACUUUAACCGAAGAGAAUUCUCUUGGGAGAGAUAUUUGUUCCUGUCUGCGCGAUGAACUGAGAACCCAACUGGCUGUACGGACUCAGACAGUAUAUCCCGAGAGAGCCAUGUUUCCGUGAAACAGAGUGUUACAAUCCCUAAUGACUCUCUGGAAGGAAAUCCUCGCCCUAAGUUCGUCAACUUUAUUAUCCAGACUGGAAGAGGUGGGUACUCGGAAGAGGAGGGUGGUGUGCGAUCCUCCUGAGUCGGAGUAGAAGACCACUCUGAGUACCUCUUUACCGCCAGCGGACAUGCAAGUUUCAUAUUACAGAGGGUGGGGAUACAGAGAGCUGUGAAAGCCUGUAUGCAGAUGAGGUCCCAAAACAAUUGCUGACAAUUGCCAUGUAGGGCACUGCCUCGUGGGGGAAUUCAAGUAUGUGUGAAAGCUAUCUGUGUCCUGCAUAACUUCAUGAUAGACAUGAGGACCAGGAGGGGACCUGCAGCUCGCCACCAUCUGCCAUAGGAGAGGUCUGCUGCUCUGCAGGAUGUUCCAAAGAUCGGGGCCAACAACACAGCUCGGGAGACAAUCCGUAUGCAGGAGAUCUUCACCUCCUACUUCUUCUAAGAGGGUGCUGUUCCCUGGCAACACCAUAGACUACACUAUGCACAACUCUUUUAAGAGCCAUCCACAUUGCAAUAAGAGUAUUCUUCCAUUUCCAAGCUAUGUCAACUACAGUUAUUCAAUUUCCAGUUUCUCUCCCUUUGAUUUCUACUUCUCAGGUGAGGGUGCUGUUCAGAAUAAGGGGGAUGUCUAUACAAAAACAACAGGCGCUUAAGAGUCACCCAUAUUGAAUGUAGAACAACUAGACACCCUACAACCCAAACCUACAGUACACACUCGUGUAUCAAUCUUAUUGAUGGAUUGUGUUGUGCAGUAAGUAGGCUCCCCUGUAUAACUGUGGCUCCUUCCACCUUCAAAGAAUAGGCAAGAGGACCAACCAUGGAGAAUAAUAAGACACUCAAUUAUUUAUAUUUAUGCAUCAACGCUAUUUGUUUGUCCUUGUGUGCCUCGUCUGUUUUUCAGUAUAAAGUACUCUGCAGCCACUCCGUGUGGGACACCAGGUUAUAUCAGCUGUGUCGGUGAACCCCUCCAGCUUGUGAACUGCCUGACACAGAGGGCACAGCAUGAUCAGAGGUGAAAGGUCACUUGGUCAGGUCAACAGGAAGUAUUAUUAAAGAGAUGUUUACAUUGAAAUACAGAUAGAGAUGUAGUAGUCCCAGAGUUAAUGAUCCAAGGUCAGUUUUGCAUUCAAUUCCUGAUGAUUAUGAUGACUGACAGUGUUGGGAUUAAAAUAACACAAGGCUUAAUCAUGCUCUUUCUCUCAUUUGCAGGUACUGUAUGUUUUGAUGUGAGAGAGGAUGCCAACUCCCAGUCCUGUCAUUGCCACCUCACGGGCCUACUGGGUGCCCAAGGCUGGUUAGGAAACACCGCUAGACACUUAUGUAAUUGUGUUGACCUGAGAGAAUAUGAAGUUUAGUAGCACUAUAAUUCAUUCAUCAUAUGCUAUCUUCCCUGCUCCUCAGUUCUUAACUCUUCCCCUUUGUCUUUUACACUCUCACACCUCUCUCCCAAACUUCUUUCUUCCUGUGUUUUUAUAAUUCAUACCAGAUGUGCAUUGAAGUACAGAUUGAACUUGUAUUUAUAUCAUAUUACAAUUAUAAUGUAUUAUGCAUGUACUUAUUUAUA
RNAcentral lists this long non-coding RNA (2075 nucleotides) under Salmo salar (Atlantic salmon). RNAcentral's name for it is "lncRNA (ENSSSAG00000112036.1)". The record is from RNAcentral. Lineage: Eukaryota; Metazoa; Chordata; Actinopteri; Salmoniformes; Salmonidae.